CAGUAGCCGCGGUAAUACCGAGGGUGCAAGCGUUAAUCGGAUUUACUGGGCGUAAAGCGUGCGUAGGCGGCUUCUUAAGUCGGAUGUGAAAUCCCUGAGCUUAACUUAGGAAUUGCAUUCGAUACUGGGAAGCUAGAGUAUGGGAGAGGAUGGUAGAAUUCCAGGUGUAGCGGUGAAAUGCGUAGAGAUCUGGAGGAAUACCGAUGGCGAAGGCAGCCAUCUGGCCUAAUACUGACGCUGAGGUACGAAAGCAUGGGGAGCAAACACGAUUAGAUACCCCAGUAGUCCCUGUCUCUUAUAC
This 301-nucleotide ribosomal RNA is filed under the name uncultured bacterium. RNAcentral's name for it is "partial 16S ribosomal RNA". It matches the Rfam family "Bacterial small subunit ribosomal RNA", at positions 509 to 807 of the family's 1533-position model. The record is from RNAcentral.